This 105-nucleotide microRNA precursor is filed under the name Canis lupus dingo (dingo). RNAcentral's name for it is "mir-8834 microRNA precursor family". It matches the Rfam family "mir-8834 microRNA precursor family". The record is from Rfam by way of RNAcentral. Lineage: Eukaryota; Metazoa; Chordata; Mammalia; Carnivora; Canidae.
AGGAGGAACAGCCCCAGUGGCGGGGCCAGCUCUGGAGCCCUGGAGUUAGCUCCCGCAGUCGCUCCGGAGCUCUCGGUCUGCAGGGCCUGGAGGCUCCGGGCGGGG